RNAcentral lists this ribosomal RNA (160 nucleotides) under Sclerotinia sclerotiorum. RNAcentral's name for it is "5.8S ribosomal RNA". The stretch from base 30 to 160 matches the Rfam family "5.8S ribosomal RNA", at positions 1 to 128 of the family's 154-position model. Rfam says of the family: 5.8S ribosomal RNA (5.8S rRNA) is a component of the large subunit of the eukaryotic ribosome. The record is from RNAcentral. Lineage: Eukaryota; Fungi; Ascomycota; Leotiomycetes; Helotiales; Sclerotiniaceae.
AUGUCGUCUGAGUACUAUAUAAUAGUUAAAACUUUCAACAAACGGAUCUCUUGGUUCUGGCAUCGAUGAAGAACGCAGCGAAAUGCGAUAAGUAAUGUGAAUUGCAGUAUUCAGUGAAUCAUCGAAUCUUUGAACGCACAUUGCGCCCCUUGGUAUUCAC